CACAUGCAAGUCGAGGGCAGCAUGGGUAGCAAUACUCAGAUGGCGACCGGCGCACGGGUGAGUAACACGUAUCCAACCUGCCGCUUACUCGGGGAUAGCCUUUCGAAAGAAAGAUUAAUACCCGAUGGUAUAAGAGUUCGCAUGUUCUCUUUAUUAAAGAAUUUCGGUAAGCGAUGGGGAUGCGUUCCAUUAGAUAGUUGGCGGGGUAACGGCCCACCAAGUCUACGAUGGAUAGGGGUUCUGAGAGGAAGGUCCCCCACAUUGGAACUGAGACACGGUCCAAACUCCUACGGGAGGCAGCAGUGAGGAAUAUUGGUCAAUGGACGAGAGUCUGAACCAGCCAAGUAAGCAUGAAGGAUGACUGCCCUAUGGGUUGUAAACUUCUUUUAUAAGGGAAUAAAGUGAGGGACGUGUCCCUUUUUGUAUGUACCUUAUGAAUAAGGAUCGGCUAACUCCGUGCCAGCCGCCGC
This 470-nucleotide ribosomal RNA is filed under the name uncultured bacterium. RNAcentral's name for it is "bacterial SSU rRNA". It matches the Rfam family "Bacterial small subunit ribosomal RNA", at positions 52 to 518 of the family's 1533-position model. The record is from RNAcentral.